Long non-coding RNA from Helianthus annuus (common sunflower), 646 nucleotides. RefSeq lists it as uncharacterized. Lineage: Eukaryota; Viridiplantae; Streptophyta; Magnoliopsida; Asterales; Asteraceae. The transcript is spliced from 4 exons. The record is from RefSeq and is a predicted model, not a curated record.
UAAUUAGUUGGUUAUCCAAUGCACCAUGAAGAGUAGUGGUAGAGUAUGCGACAUUCUUAUCGGGGUCGGAAUGUUGUGCGAAUCCAUUAACGAUGAACAAUACUUUUGAAAAUGGGAGUGUCGAAGAAUCGGAGGCCUCAAAUCUUACGUUACCGGCGAUCGCUCAUCAAAUCGCGACAUCCUUCUCGGUUCAGAUGCUUUCGGUCGAGUAUUAUUGAUGGUUAUGGCUCAAGACCGUUCCGAACCGCUCAACAAUUCUUAAAGGUGCUCAUUUGGGAGGCAAAUUGGCUGAGAAUUUGGGAGCCUUCGUUUCCAUCAUAUAAAUAGAUCUCAGCACUAAUCAUAUUGGAGACCAAAUACCGUCAAACCUUCCACUUACCAUUAAGAGCUAUGUUUGUCCUUCUUCACAUCAUGGUUACAACACUUUCUAUAUGUAAUUUUAAAAGUUAGAAAUAUAUGUGAAAUGUAGAAACAGGGGAUAACAUGGAUACUAAUCUUAAUGAGUUAGAAACAUGUAAAGUCAAGACCAAUCUUUUUCAUAUCAAGUUGAUGCUUUACUCACUUAUUUGUACAAGAUUAUUAGUCAUGAUAUUACUAAGUCUUGUAAGUGAUUCAUAACCAACAUAAAAUGAAACGAAUGAGAAAC